GACUACUGGGGUAUCUAAUCCCAUUCGCUCCCCACGCUUUCGUCCAUGAGUGUCAGAUUCGUCCUAGCAAACUGCCUUCGCAUUUGGUGUUCUUGCUGAUAUUAAUGGAUUUAACCCCUACACCAGCAAUUCCGUUUGCCUCUUCCGAUCUCUAGCUUACCCAUCUCUUCCGCAGCCUCCGGGUUGGGCCCGAAGAUUUAACAGAAGAUGCGGCAAGCCACCUGCGGACGCUUUACGCCCAAUAAAUCCGGAUAACGCUUGGGGCCCUCGUAUUACCGCUGCUGCUGGCACGAGGUUAGCAGCCCCUUAUUCAACUGCUACCAUCAUUGUUUUGUCACAGUUAAAAGUACUUUACACCCCGAGGGGCUUCUUCGUACACGCGGCGUCGCUCCUUCAGACUUUCGUCCAUUGAGGAAGAUUCUCGACUGCAGCCCCCCGUAGG
Molecule: ribosomal RNA, 442 nt
Filed under: uncultured bacterium
Lineage: Bacteria
Description: partial 16S ribosomal RNA
Source: RNAcentral